Molecule: ribosomal RNA, 164 nt
Filed under: uncultured Thelephoraceae
Lineage: Eukaryota; Fungi; Basidiomycota; Agaricomycetes; Thelephorales; Thelephoraceae
Description: partial 28S ribosomal RNA
Rfam family: Eukaryotic large subunit ribosomal RNA
Source: RNAcentral
AUCUCAAAUCAGGUAGGACUACCCGCUGAACUUAAGCAUAUCAAUAAGCGGAGGAAAAGAAACUAACAAGGAUUCCCCUAGUAACUGCGAGUGAAGCGGGAAGAGCUCAAAUUUAAAAUCUGGCGUGCCUCCGGUCGUCCGAGUUGUAUUCUGGAGAAGUUUCC